Monascus purpureus is the source of this 82-nucleotide non-coding RNA. NCBI's taxonomy places the organism in Eukaryota, Fungi, Ascomycota, Eurotiomycetes, Eurotiales, Aspergillaceae. The record is from the annotation of a GenBank genome assembly.
GGCAAGAUGGCCGAGCGGUCCAAGGCGUGCGGUUAAGGUCCGCAUCUCGAAAGGGGCGUGGGUUCGAAUCCCACUCUUGUCA